CAAUAUGGCUGCAACAUCUGUCAUCCCAUUGAAUACCAGGGUUUAUUCUGCUGAUCUUGCUGGCUAAGGGGUGUCCUCUUCCUCCCUCCCACUUCAUCCACUAUCCCAGAUAGGAAUAUAGUGAUCUUUGGUCAAGGGUCAAGAGUAUACUAGAGCUGAGCUUCCCUACUAGAACCUCCAGACAAACAUGCCUCUUUGAAGGCAUCUUCAUUCUGAUAACUGAUAACUGAGUGUAACUGACAGUUAUCUGGAUGGAUGAAGUGAUAAAGCCAUUAGAAUUCCCAAGUUAAUGAAAGGCCAUCCUU
This 305-nucleotide small nuclear RNA is filed under the name Ophiophagus hannah (king cobra). Its description in RNAcentral is "7SK RNA". The stretch from base 1 to 250 matches the Rfam family "7SK RNA". From Rfam's summary of the family: 7SK was discovered as an abundant small nuclear RNA in the mid-70s but a possible function has only recently been suggested. Two independent studies have found that 7SK RNA binds the CDK9/cyclin T complex (known as elongation factor P-TEFb). Lineage: Eukaryota; Metazoa; Chordata; Lepidosauria; Squamata; Elapidae. The record is from Rfam by way of RNAcentral.